UUCCUGUUAUGUACGGGCGUUUACACUAUACACCUCUUGAUCCUAAUUUUUAUACUUUGGAAUGCCUUAAUUGGCCUUUGGUGUGCAAGCUGAUUUAGUUCAGAAGCCUAAAGAAGUCCAUCUAGGAAUCCACUUGAACCUAAGCGUUCAAGAGUCUUAGUGUCGAGCCACGGCUACUAUGGGGA
This 185-nucleotide non-coding RNA is filed under the name pig gut metagenome. Its description in RNAcentral is "6S / SsrS RNA". It matches the Rfam family "6S / SsrS RNA". From Rfam's summary of the family: E. coli 6S RNA was the first non coding RNA to be sequenced, but its function was unknown until recently. The record is from RNAcentral.